Molecule: ribosomal RNA, 700 nt
Filed under: uncultured bacterium
Lineage: Bacteria
Description: bacterial SSU rRNA
Rfam family: Bacterial small subunit ribosomal RNA
Source: RNAcentral
GCUCAGAUUGAACGCUGGCGGCAUGCCUUACACAUGCAAGUCGAACGGUAACGCGGGGCAACCUGGCGACGAGUGGCGAACGGGUGAGUAAUAUAUCGGAACGUGCCCAGUAGUGGGGGAUAGCCCGGCGAAAGCCGGAUUAAUACCGCAUGAGACCUGAGGGUGAAAGCGGGGGAUCGCAAGACCUCGCGCUAUUGGAGCGGCCGAUAUCAGAUUAGGUAGUUGGUGGGGUAAAAGCCUACCAAGCCGACGAUCUGUAGCUGGUCUGAGAGGACGACCAGCCACACUGGGACUGAGACACGGCCCAGGCUCCUACGGGAGGCAGCAGUGGGGAAUUUUGGACAAUGGGCGCAAGCCUGAUCCAGCCAUGCCGCGUGCGGGAAGAAGGCCUUCGGGUUGUAAACCGCUUUUGUCAGGGAAGAAAUCUUUUGGGUUAAUACCUCGGAGGGAUGACGGUACCUGAAGAAUAAGCACCGGCUAACUACGUGCCAGCAGCCGCGGUAAUACGUAGGGUGCGAGCGUUAAUCGGAAUUACUGGGCGUAAAGCGUGCGCAGGCGGUCUUGCAAGACAGGUGUGAAAUCCCCGGGCUUAACCUGGGAACUGCACUUGUGACUGCAAGGCUGGAGUACGGCAGAGGGGGAUGGAAUUCCGCGUGUAGCAGUGAAAUGCGUAGAUAUGCGGAGGAACACCGAUGGCGAA